AUUGAACGCUGGCGGCAUGCCUUACACAUGCAAGUCGAACGGCAGCACGGGAGCAAUCCUGGUGGUGAGUGGCGAACGGGUGAGUAAAGUAUCGGAACGUGCCCAGUCGUGGGGGAUAACGUAGCGAAAGUUACGCUAAUACCGCAUACGAUCUAUGGAUGAAAGCGGGGGAUCGCAAGACCUCGCGCGAUUGGAGCGGCCGAUAUCAGAUUAGGUAGUUGGUGGGGUAAAGGCUCACCAAGCCGACGAUCUGUAGCUGGUCUGAGAGGACGCCCAGCCACACUGGGACUGAGACACGGCCCAGACUCCUACGGGAGGCAGCAGUGGGGAAUUUUGGACAAUGGGCGAAAGCCUGAUCCAGCCAUGCCGCGUGCAGGAUGAAGGCCUUCGGGUUGUAAACUGCUUUUGUACGGAACGAAAAGGUUUGGGCUAAUAAGCUGAGCUCAUGACGGUACCGUAAGAAUAAGCACCGGCUAACUACGUGCCAGCCGCCGCAGUAA
Molecule: ribosomal RNA, 500 nt
Filed under: uncultured bacterium
Lineage: Bacteria
Description: partial 16S ribosomal RNA
Rfam family: Bacterial small subunit ribosomal RNA
Source: RNAcentral